Long non-coding RNA from Fukomys damarensis (Damara mole-rat), 550 nucleotides. RefSeq lists it as uncharacterized. The transcript is spliced from 3 exons. NCBI's taxonomy places the organism in Eukaryota, Metazoa, Chordata, Mammalia, Rodentia, Bathyergidae. The record is from RefSeq and is a predicted model, not a curated record.
GCCUGACUUUUUACAACUGUUGCCCAAGCAGUAAAAUCAGAAAAACACUCCAAGCCCAAAGUAGAGACCAAGGGCAACAUUAGAAAACCCUGGAUACAUCCCUACGGUUGCUUGUGGUCAAAAGACUUCCCUUCUCUGGAGAUAAUUAAGAUGAUGCAUCUUAAUUCGUAGUGCCAUAAAUGCUACAUCAAGGUUAAUUUUUCUGUACUAUCAGAGCCAAACACUUAGCCACAGCCCCAAAUUCAUUCUGCUACCAGCAUUCUCAACCAAAGUGGGAACUCUGGGAAUGCUCAGAUGAACCAGAGGUUGACCCUGACUGGCAGAUGCUCGUGAUCCAGCAAAGGAAACCAGGUUUCUCUUGUUCCUGGGUUGAAGCGGAACACUCUUAUGCGCUUCCUGUGUCCCUAGGCCACACUACCCACCUCCCCCUACAGCACCCACACUGAAGAAUGGAAAGGGGACCACUGUCUCUCCUAUGGGCCUCAAGAUGAACCUAGGAGAGAAAUGGCCACAGGAGUUUCACCGCUGUGGUCUCCAAACAAGGAAACUG